Molecule: ribosomal RNA, 254 nt
Filed under: uncultured bacterium
Lineage: Bacteria
Description: partial 16S ribosomal RNA
Rfam family: Bacterial small subunit ribosomal RNA
Source: RNAcentral
UACGUAGGGUGCGAGCGUUGUCCGGAAUUAUUGGGCGUAAAGAGCUCGUAGGCGGUUUGGCAAGUCGGGUGUGAAAACUUCAGGCUCAACCUGGAGAUGCCACCCGAGACUGCUAUGACUUGAGUCUGGUAGGGGAGCACGGAAUUCCUGGUGUAGCGGUGAAAUGCGCAGAUAUCAGGAGGAACACCGGUGGCGGAGGCGGUGCUCUGGGCCAGUACUGACGCUGAGGAGCGAAAGCGUGGGGAGCAAACAGG